Molecule: non-coding RNA, 460 nt
Organism: Pipistrellus kuhlii (Kuhl's pipistrelle)
Lineage: Eukaryota; Metazoa; Chordata; Mammalia; Chiroptera; Vespertilionidae
Source: the annotation of a RefSeq genome assembly
AGAUUCUGCCCUGAAAUGGUCACCAGGCUCUGCUUCUAUGUGGCUCUUUGUCUCCUGUGGGCAGGAAACCUGGAUGCCCGAAUCACCCAGAGCCCAAGAUACAAGGUCACAGGGACAGAAAGAAUGUGACUCUCAGCUGUCACCAGACUGAUAACCACAACGUUAUGUACUGGUAUCGCCAAGACCUGGGCCAUGGGCUGAGACUGAUCCAGUACUCAUAUGGUGAUGGCAGCAUUGAAAAAGGAGAUGUCCCUGAUGGAUACAGUGUCACUAGGCCAAAUACAGAGAACUGUGCCCUCACACUGGACUCAGCCACCCUCUCCCAGACAUCUUUGUAUUUCUGUGCCACCAGUGAAUCCACAGUGGUUCAUGGCUGACUCCUCUCUACACAAAAAGGCAGGGGGAAGCCCUGCAUCCUGUCUCCACAGAGCCCUACACAAACUAAUAAGGAGCCCCCAGU